This 396-nucleotide unclassified non-coding RNA is filed under the name soil metagenome. Its description in RNAcentral is "partial contains 5.8S ribosomal RNA, internal transcribed spacer 2, and large subunit ribosomal RNA". The stretch from base 1 to 122 matches the Rfam family "5.8S ribosomal RNA", at positions 35 to 154 of the family's 154-position model. The record is from RNAcentral.
GAUGAAGAACGUAGCGAAAUGCGAUAAGUAAUGCGAAUUGCAGAAUUCAGUGAGUCAUCGAAUCUUUGAACGCACAUUGCGCCCGAAGCCAUUAGGCCGAGGGCACGCCUGCCUGGGUGUCACACACCGUUACCCUCGCGCCAACGUCCAUCGUUGGCCGCGGCGCGGGGCGUGCGCUGACCUCCCGCGAGCGGGGUCUCGUGGUUGGUUGAAAAUCGAGUUCGCGGUCGAGGGUGCCGUGAUGAAAUGGUGGAUGGGCGACGCCCGAGGCCAAUCACGCGCGACUCUGUCCGGCUCGGACUCCUGGACCCCUUCGGCGUCUCCGGACGCUCUUUGGCGAGACCUCAGGUCAGGCGGGGCUACCCGCUGAGUUUAAGCAUAUCAAUAAGCGGAGGA